ACCAUUUGAUGGGACAUGAAGUCGAGAUGCAGGUGGUUUGAAAUACUUUGCCUCGUCGAUUUGGCGCUCCAGGUCUUCCAGAGUUGAAUGCAUCUCAGCUACAAUAAUCGGGCAAUUAUGGAGGUUGCUCAAGUACUGCUUUAUUUCGGAGUUGAACAAAUUAUCUAUGUUUCUGAAAUGACGCACUGCUAAAUAAAGGUCUAUUCUCCGAAGACUGCGCCUUAUGCUAGUGAGGAAAAUGAUGUGGUUCGUGAGCAAUGGGCUAAGUUUUAUACCAGCAUGUAUUUAUUAUUGAUCUGAGGGCGCUUGAUCGAGUUGGUUUAGAUGUUAUAG
Long non-coding RNA from Spinacia oleracea (spinach), 333 nucleotides. RefSeq lists it as uncharacterized. Lineage: Eukaryota; Viridiplantae; Streptophyta; Magnoliopsida; Caryophyllales; Amaranthaceae. The record is from RefSeq and is a predicted model, not a curated record. The transcript is spliced from 3 exons.